GUUAACAAAAUAUUUUUUGUACAUCAAAAGCUUUUACCGACAUAACCACAUCGAUUGGAAAAAGUGGGAGCUUUACCGACUGCUCAUAGAAACAAAAGUCUGUACGAAUCUGGACACGGAAGAAAGUGUAUUUCUUGACGGACCGAGUCUCCACCAAUGGAUUUCACAAUGCAGACGACAUUUUAGUCAACUAAUGGAACCCAAGCUGGACUUACAGUGGAAAGGGUAUGAACAAAAUAAGGCUGACGUUCGUCUGACUCAUCUUCGCUGAACUCAGCUGAUCCCGCUUCGGAUAUUUGAAAUGAUGGUAGUAAUGUAGAUGUAGUGAGGAUGCUGGUGAAGAAUGUUGGCCAUGAGAAGACGUAGCAGGAGAAGAUUGUUGGCCAUAACAAUGAGACGAUGAAGCUGGUGAACAAUGUUGGCCAUAACACACAGAAGAAGAUGCUGGUGAAGAAUUCACAUUUUGAAGCGAUGGAGGCUGCAAAACUUCAUCAGCUAAAUCUUCAUCAGAUUCUUCUGGCUCGGUGGCUCCACAGUGAACGGAUGGGUUAACUCCAACUCAACUGGUGCACGUUUGGAUUUUUUGAAGCUGUAACAUGUAAGGACAUCCAUUGCCAACAUCUCUGUAAAAAGUCCAUGAGGUUUCUUCAUACCCCAUCCACUUCAGAAGAAUUCUAAUUGGAAAAACUUGGAAAAACUUACCCCAUAUCCAGAAUUGCCUCAACUUCGUAUUCCUCGUGAUUAUCCAUUGUUUGUUUUGAAUUUUUGAAUGGAAAAAAACAAAACAAACUUUUGGUCUGAACUAUAUGAACAAAUUGAACCAUCGAUGAACCAUGUUGAAUGAACAAUAGAAGUUGGGAUCAAAUAUGUGCGCCACUGGAAGAUCGUGAUACCAAGACAAGGAAUAGCACGGGGCAAGUUGCUAGAAUUGGCCGCAUUGGUGCCAUAGACCAUGUGUCGCAGAUUGAUUUCAUUUGUGGACCAUAUUCAUCACAUGGGUCACAUUCUUCAGUUAUAAGCGAAACAUUUUCAUACGAUCCUAAAUGGCCAUCGUUUUGACAAAACACGCCGUGUGGCUCUUUGUUGAUGCAAAUUUUUGAAAUAACCCCAUUCUUAAAUAUUUUGUACCCACUUUCUCUUUUAGGUAGUGGGUAUGAUGGGGUAACGGACACUAUAUCAAAACAAAUACAUGUCCGAUCACACAAAAUUGAAGAAAACAACAUAGUAACUUACAUUUUUCCAUGAAACUAUUCAUCAUUCCCUCCUGAUCUGGCGCUCCUGAGUUUUUGAAAGCUUUCGCCAAGAAAGAAUCUAAAUCCGUCUAAAUCCAUAUCAAUUGGACACGUAGUUUUGGUGUAGACAUUUCUUCUACUUUGUUCAAUAAUGUUAUCCAUUCUAAGGAGAGAAAAAAAUAACGAUAAUUCUUACUGCAUUGAUCGCGAAGACUGGACUGCAAUUCUAGAUUUCUAGAUCGCUACCUUCUUUUUCCCACAAAAAAAUGUCGUCCAAUCCGUGAGCUCUUAUUGGUUUUCCUUUUUCCAGUUGCCGCGGGGUUUUGACGGAAAUUACAUCUUUUAAGUUAACGAUGACUAGCGUUACAAGCGAUGAAAUUGCAAACUACACCGGAAUCGGAACAACACAAAUAUGCUAGGUUAUUCACACCCAACAGAGCU
Long non-coding RNA from Daphnia pulex (common water flea), 1673 nucleotides. RefSeq lists it as uncharacterized. The transcript is spliced from 5 exons. Lineage: Eukaryota; Metazoa; Arthropoda; Branchiopoda; Diplostraca; Daphniidae. The record is from RefSeq and is a predicted model, not a curated record.